AGGGCCAGCCUGGAAGGGUAUGAAUAGAACUGUGCUCCUCAGCCAUCUCGGACAGGAGGAGAGCAGGAGGACAAGCAGAGGCUGAGGGCCAGAGGCCCAGAGAAGAACGUCAUGAGACCAUGGAAACCUCCUUUCCUCUGCUACUGAGCUGGAGAGAUGUUUCACCUUCCACAGAGACAUCGGCAUUGGCGUCAUGGCCAUCAUAUGGAGAUCAUAGAAAGAGCUGUACCCCUCUGACAGCUCAAACCAGAGGAGAGUAGGAUGGGCCUGAGGCACAGAGGAUAAUGUCAUCUGAACUUGGAACCCUCAUGUACUCUGCUACUCAGCUGGAGAGAUGUUCCACCUACCACAGAGACAUCGGCACUGGUGACUUGGUUGGCGUAGGGAGAUCAUGGAAAGAGCUGCAACCCCUGUCCCAGCCCAUGCCAGCUGAGAGCAGGAUGUUAUGCAGUGGCAAAGGGCCUGAGGCCCAGUGGAGAACAUCCUCUGAACAUGGAACCCUCCUGUACUCUGCUGCUCAGCUGGAGAGAUGUUCCAUCUUCUACGUGGACAUUGAUACAAAGAUAAGCAAUCAAAAUAAUGCCAGCCUGGCUGUAAUUUGGGUAUCAGCUGCUGGCAGCUGCCUUGGUGAUGACGUGGUCAUGGCACAGCAGGCAGAAUAUCAGCAGUUCCCUGUAUCACACAGGUUGGUGACAUGGCCGGCAUGUGGAGAUCAUAGAAAGAUCUGCACCCCUUUGACAGCUUAGACCAGAGUACAGCAGGAUGGCCCAGUGGAGAACGUGAGCAGACCAUGGAAACCUCCUGUCUUCUGCUGCACAGCUGGAGAGAUGUUCCACCUUCCACAGAGACAUCAGUACAAAGAUACGUCAUCAAAAUAACACCAGCCUGGCUGUAAUUUCUGCAUCAGCUGCUGGAAACUGCCUUGAUAAUGCUGUGGUCAUGUCACAGCCGGCAGAACAUUGGCAGUUCCCUGUUUCACACAGGCACUGGUGACUUGGUUGGUGUAGGUAGAUCAAGGAAAGACCUGCACCCUCUGCUCGCCCAGGCCAGAGGAGAGCAGGAUGGUGAUCAGUGGCAGAGGGCCUGAGGCCCAGAGGAGAACAUGAGACCAUGGAACCCUCCUGUCCUCUGCUGCUCAGCUGGAGCGAUGUUCCACCUUCCACAGAGACAUCAGUGCAAAGAUAUGUAAUCAAACUAACACCAGGCUGGCUGUAAUUUGGGCAUCAGCUGCUGGCAACUGCCUCGGUGAUGCUGUGGUCAUGUCACAGCAGGCAGAACAUUGGCAGUUCCCUGUUUCACACAGGCACUGGUGACUUGGUUGGUGUAGGGAGAUCAUGGAAAGAGCUGCAACCCCUGUCCCAGCCCAGACCAGCAGAAAGCAGGAUGGUGAUCAGUGGCAGAGGGCCUGAGGCCCAGAGGAGAACAUGAGACCAUGGAACCCUCCUGUCCUCUGCUGCUCAGCUGGAGCGAUGUUCCACCUUUCACAGAGACAUCAGUGCAAAGAUAUGUAAUCAAACUAACACCAGGCUGGCUGUAAUUUGGGCAUCAGCUGCUGGCAACUGCCUCGGUGAUGCUGUGGUCAUGUCACAGCUGGCAGAACAUUGGCAGUUCCCUGUUUCACACAGGCACUGGUGACUUGGUUGGCGUAGGGAGAUCAUGGAAAGAGCUGCAACCUUCUGCCAGCUGAGGCCAUUGGAUAGUUGGAGGAUGGUGAAACACUGUGAUGAGAAGACAUGAAGCACAGACCAGGUGCCCACAGGAGAACAUUAUCAAAGCAUGGAACCUUCUUGUUCUUAGUCAUUCAGCUAGAGAGGUGUUCUACCUUGUACCUGGGUAUUCAUAUAAAGCUAAAUAAUCAAAAUAACUGCAGUGUCCAUGUUACAUUGGGCAGCCAGCUGGUGGUAGCCCAUGUCAGUGUUAUUCAGUGACAUGGGCCAGCCCAGGACAGGUGUCCUCUGGCUGCCAGGAGAGACAGAACUGAUAGACUGGGACUGAGCCACAGGUACCUCCUCCCCACACCCUCUUCAGCCACUCGGACUGAGGUUUCUGCAGCCAUCUGUGAAGGCAUGAACCUAAGGACCAGAAAACACAGCCCCAGACUGUACCUCACCAUGGCCUCACAGACAGAUGGAGACUCCCAACAGCUCUGGACAAGUGAAGAUCUACACCACCUGCUUUCUCACAAUAAAAUCAUCUGAUUCAUAAAUGCA
This is a long non-coding RNA of Gallus gallus (chicken), 2210 nucleotides long. RefSeq lists it as uncharacterized. The record is from RefSeq and is a predicted model, not a curated record. NCBI's taxonomy places the organism in Eukaryota, Metazoa, Chordata, Aves, Galliformes, Phasianidae. The transcript is spliced from 11 exons.